AACGAACGCUGGCGGCAGGCCUAACACAUGCAAGUCGAGCGAGGACUUCGGUUCUAGCGGCGGACGGGUGAGUAACGCGUGGGAAUGUGCCCUUCUCUACGGAAUAGCCCUGGGAAACUGGGAGUAAUACCGUAUACGCCCUUUUGGGGAAAGAUUUAUCGGAGAAGGAUCAGCCCGCGUUGGAUUAGGUAGUUGGUGGGGUAAUGGCCUACCAAGCCGACGAUCCAUAGCUGGUUUGAGAGGAUGAUCAGCCACACUGGGACUGAGACACGGCCCAGACUCCUACGGGAGGCAGCAGUGGGGAAUCUUAGACAAUGGGGGCAACCCUGAUCUAGCCAUGCCGCGUGAGUGAUGAAGGCCUUAGGGUUAUAAAGCUCUUUCAGCUGGGAAGAUAAUGACGGUACCAGCAGAAGAAGCCCCGGCUAACUCCGUG
This 433-nucleotide ribosomal RNA is filed under the name uncultured bacterium. RNAcentral describes it as "partial 16S ribosomal RNA". It matches the Rfam family "Bacterial small subunit ribosomal RNA", at positions 29 to 507 of the family's 1533-position model. The record is from RNAcentral.